GGAGAAGUACCCAAGAGGCUGAAGGGGACGGUUUGCUAAAUCGUUAGUGGGGGGUAACUCCAGCAAGGGUUCGAAUCCCUUCUUCUCCG
RNAcentral lists this transfer RNA (89 nucleotides) under Amygdalobacter nucleatus. RNAcentral's name for it is "tRNA-Ser". It matches the Rfam family "tRNA". Rfam says of the family: Transfer RNA (tRNA) molecules are approximately 80 nucleotides in length. Their secondary structure includes four short double-helical elements and three loops (D, anti-codon, and T loops). Lineage: Bacteria; Bacillati; Bacillota; Clostridia; Eubacteriales; Oscillospiraceae. The record is from RNAcentral.